This 514-nucleotide ribosomal RNA is filed under the name Anostirus purpureus. RNAcentral describes it as "partial 16S ribosomal RNA". It matches the Rfam family "Archaeal large subunit ribosomal RNA", at positions 1936 to 2679 of the family's 2987-position model. The record is from RNAcentral. Lineage: Eukaryota; Metazoa; Arthropoda; Insecta; Coleoptera; Elateridae.
UAUUUAAGGUUUAAUCUGCUCAAUGAGGAUUUAAAUUGCCGCGGUAUAUUGACCGUGCAAAGGUAGCAUAAUAAUUAGUUUCUUUAUUGGAAGCUGGAAUGAAUGAUUGGACGAGAAAAUUACUGUCUCUAAUAAAUUUAAUUUUUAAUUUAACUUUUAAGUCAAAAGGCUUAAAUUGGUAUUAAAGACGAGAAGACCCUAUAGAGUUUUAUAUUUAAUUUAUUUAAUGGUUUUUGGUUAUUUAAUAUUUUAAAUUUUUUAUUUAUUUGGUUGGGGUGACUUGAAGAUAAACGUAACUCUUCAAAAAUUAAUUAUUUAAUCAUUGAUUUGUGAAUUGAUAAUCUAGAUUUUUUAAAUUUAAAAUAAAUUACCUUAGGGAUAACAGCGUAAUUUUCUUUUAGAGUUCAUAUUGAAAGGAAAGUUUGCGACCUCGAUGUUGGAUUAAGAUUUAUUUCUGGUGCAGAAGCUGGAUAAUUAGGUCUGUUCGACCUUUAAAAUUUUACAUGAUCUGAGU